GGCAGCUGAAGUGAACAAAUGGGCCGCGCGCUCUGUCGAUGAUAUUUACAGCCGACAAGACACAUUUAGCGUUCGCAGCGUGAAGUGGAAACUCAAACACACGUGGUGUGUCCAUCCCUAUUGUCCCUUUUCCCAACACGCAGCUUCGCAUUGUCCGUGAGGGAUGUUUCUCAACUUUUGUUACCGGGGUGGCUUUCCAUGGAUGGAGUUGUGACUUUUGUCAGAGCGUGAAAAGGAAGAAAAGGAACCACCACCGAAGCGAGAACCGCCGCGUGACGCCCCCUAUUUCACAGUUAAUUCAAGCUGGAUUUCAAUGUGGUGAAAAUAACUGAAGUCAACGAAAUCUCACAAUCAUGUUGAUUGAAAUUGCUGCAUUCUAGAACAGCCAGCUUCAAGAGGGUCCUGAUUCACACCCUAGCUUCAGGAUAAAUGAACGUGCAUCCCCCCUGCUGCUGGUUUGGGAAAUAAAGUGAACGCAGGUCAGUGUCCCUACCAAGCCACCCACAUUGCUAACAAGCCAUUUGACACAACAAUGAAUA
This is a long non-coding RNA of Neocloeon triangulifer, 539 nucleotides long. RefSeq lists it as uncharacterized. The transcript is spliced from 3 exons. The record is from RefSeq and is a predicted model, not a curated record. Lineage: Eukaryota; Metazoa; Arthropoda; Insecta; Ephemeroptera; Baetidae.